GAUGAACGCUGGCUACAGGCUUAACACAUGCAAGUCGAGGGGAAACGACGGGGAAGCUUGCUUCCCCGGGCGUCGACCGGCGCACGGGUGAGUAACGCGUAUCCAACCUGCCUCUGACUGAGGGAUAACCCGUCGAAAGUCGGCCUAAUACCUCAUGGCAUCGUCUGCGGGCAUCCAACGACGAUUAAAGAUUUCAUCGGUCAGGGAUGGGGAUGCGUCUGAUUAGCUUGUUGGCGGGGUAACGGCCCACCAAGGCUACGAUCAGUAGGGGUUCUGAGAGGAAGGUCCCCCACAUUGGAACUGAGACACGGUCCAAACUCCUACGGGAGGCAGCAGUGAGGUAUAUUGGUCAAUGGGCGGGAGCCUGAACCAGCCAAGUAGCGUGCAGGAUGACGGCCCUAUGGGUUGUAAACUGCUUUUAUGCGGGGAUAAAGUGAGGGACGUGUCCUUCAUUGCAGGUACCGCAUGAAUAAGGACCGGCUAAUUCCGUG
Molecule: ribosomal RNA, 491 nt
Filed under: uncultured bacterium
Lineage: Bacteria
Description: partial 16S ribosomal RNA
Rfam family: Bacterial small subunit ribosomal RNA
Source: RNAcentral